This 994-nucleotide unclassified non-coding RNA is filed under the name Hevea brasiliensis (rubber tree). Lineage: Eukaryota; Viridiplantae; Streptophyta; Magnoliopsida; Malpighiales; Euphorbiaceae. The record is from RNAcentral.
UGCUACAUCUACAUCUUGGGUUUGAUUGGUUUCCAACGUUACAAAUGAAACCUUCUUACUUUUUGUGAACCUAAAAAUUAGGAUACAUUAAUCUGUACAGAAACAUCCUCUACGCUUGCACAGUUAAAUUAGGUAUGGCUCGGGUGACUCCUCCUCCAAGAAAACAUCUCUUGGUCUCAUCCCCAGGAGCACAAGUGCUGAACCCAUCAUUCUGUGGUUAACUUAAAUCAAAGAGAUGAGGAAAAGAAAUAAUAAUUAACUCAUUUCUUAGAGCUGCAAUGCUAAAUCUGGCUGUGCUGAAUCAACACGGCUAGAACUAGGAGAACCUGGAGACUGAAAUCUGACAUUCAGGUCAGGUGGGACUGAAUCUGAUUUCUGUUGCGUUGACAACCCAGAAUCUGGUUUUGGCUGUGGUGAUGAUCCUUGCCAUGAAGGUCGGGAUUCAUGUCCAGAUCUUGGGGCCACCUUUUCCUCGUUCCCAGAAUUUGGUAGUGCACCACUGGAAUUUAUUGCAGAGGAAUUCUCUGAAGGCUUUGGAUUUUUUGAGUUCAGGCUGUUUUCUGUUGAUGCAUGGACAAAGUUAGUAUUAGUAGUAGAGACUCUGUCAGUCAGGGAUGGCCGAAAGUUAGUCCCAAGCCUGGCAGCUCCAACUAGUUUUCCCAUCUGGGCUGGAAGACUAAACCUGUAGGCGCCAUUGAAUCCAUUCAUGCCAGGGUGAACUUGAUGGCUCUGAUGAAUCUGAAAGGGAGGCCUUGGCCUGGUCAUACUUGUGUUGCUGUUGAGGAUGUUAAAACCCCCAUGAGAGUUAAAUCCCUCAACUGCUGCUUCUCUUUCCAUGCAAGGUUCAGAUUUACUAGCAGCCGCAUGGGGUGCAGAUGUUGAGGCAGAUAGAGAAAGAUCAUUGGUUAAUUGUGGUGCCUCUGAGGCAGAGUGAAUUUGAGGUAUAUCAUUCUUGCUCGCAUUAUUUUCAGGUUUUUCUGACAGUUUUUCUCUC